Molecule: RNA transcript, 2510 nt
Organism: Leopardus geoffroyi (Geoffroy's cat)
Lineage: Eukaryota; Metazoa; Chordata; Mammalia; Carnivora; Felidae
Gene name: piwi-like protein 3
Exons: 8
Source: RefSeq, a predicted model, not a curated record
GAGCGUGGAUGUAAAGCUGCUUGGCCAGCAUCAUCUUAGGAGUCCUCAACUUUAUUCUUGCUUCCCAAUUUCAAAAUUUACUACAAAGCUCUAGGAAUCAGGACAGUGGGAUACUGCAAGAGUUUCAAGACCGCUUUCUUGGGGAAGGAAUACUCUUUUCCUCAAAUAUUGCUGGGACCACUGGAUAUCCACCUGGCUGUUCCUCACAGAAGAUACAAAAUUAACUCCAAUUUAUCCCCCAAAUUAACUAAAAAUAGACCUAAAUGUAUAACAAUAGAACCUAUCGAGUGGAUGCUAUUAAUUGGGAGGAGACUCCCAGAAGUACGUUUAAGAAAUCAGGUGGUGAGGAAAUCACCUUCGUAGACUACUACAAGGAGGUCUAACAGAUGAAAUGCAUAAAGACUACAGAGUGAAGAGAGACAUGGCUAUGCAUACAAGGUUGGAUCCAGAAAAAAAAGGCAGCAUAAAUUAUGAAGAUUCAUGAAUAUUGUACAAAAAAAUAAGAGUGCACAAAAGGAACUCCCACUUUGGGAUUUGAAAUUUGACCCCAACUUCGUGUCCUUCUCAGGAAGAAUUAUGAAAGAAGUAAGAAUUCUUCAAAGAAGCAGAGCGAUCAAGUUUGGAAAUGUGUGAAAAUGUACAAGAAGCACGAGAAUUGUAGACUUGACUUCUGAGACCACAGGCCCAGCUCUCUUCUAAAUUUGUGUCAUUAAAGAAAAUUUAAGACCACACCCUCUAUCAGAAGCCCCCGCAAGUUGUCCUGGGAGAACAAAGUCCAAACAUCUUUUGUCUUGGGACAAAAGGAAAGGUUUCUACAGGUAGGAACAAUUGAGGGGACAUUGGGUGUAGCGGAGUUUGGCCACACAGUAAGGAUGGAUCAAAGUUCCACGGAAAAUGGGAAGGCUGAACACGUACCUACGAAUUGAAACGGCUACAGUUUUUAAUCGUCCUGCGAAGAAGCAGGGGGUGAGGCUACCCCUGGUUAUCAGGAGACAGAAAUGCUUACUGAACGGAGCAACUGCAGGAUCAGGUGGGUGUUUGCCUUCCGGUGGGCAUUUCAGAAGGUAAGAGUGGAUGCCUUAAGCCUGCAUGAGGCCAGGGAACAGGGAAGUGCUUCCAUCGUCUUUGACAUAGCUCCACCUAGCGGCCAGCCGUGUUUACUACCACUCGGUUCACCCAACCUUCUUCGGGUGUCUGCCAAAGUCACUCAAGAACUACAAUCCCUCCGCUUUUCUACGGUUGAAGAAUAAAAACCCAAAUAAGUGAGACACAACAAAAAACUCCUCAAAUUUCAUCGACAGAUCACUAAUAAAGAUAUUUAAAAUGUGUGUAAUUUACCAAUUGUUGUUAUGACCUUCCCAUAUUUUGAAGCUCAAAUCCGUUUCAAAUAUGCUUCGUGGGCUUUGAUACACCGAUAAUCUUAUAUUUUACUGUGCAGGAAAACGUGACGGCAGUAAGAGAUUUCUACUUUCUAGUCACUGAGUGGCAAUAAAAUCAAAGUGAAGAAUUUAUCUCCUAGGAGUGGAACCAAGCACAGCCAAUUUCCAUCCCCUCCUUAGCUUGGUACCCCACGGUUCCUCAAAACUAGGUUCUGGGCCCACAUGUUUCAAAUCGCUGAGCUAACGUGAGUGAGAAUUCAUAUCCCAUAGAAGCUAAGUGUAUUAAGUAGUAAACCAGAAGGUUUUAAUUUUAAACAGUGAGUCAAAUUGAAAUGGGAAUUUUAUGACACAUUAUGUGCUUGACAGAUGAAGCAUAUUUGUGUAAGCAACAUAACUAUGGAGUAUUGUAUAGAGAGAGUAAUAUUAAUGAAAUUAAAUGUUCAUGUCUGGUUUUGUCCACAAGACAAGGAAAACAUGAUAUUUAUUGACCACAGAUAAUUCUUCACAUUUAUCAAUCCUCACAUUCAAAAUGUCUGAAACUGCUGUUUCUUUUGAAAGUUCGGUUCCAUGUGGAAUAAAAACACAUGUGGCACCAUUUCUGUCAUCAGGAAAUCUCAGUCCUCCCAGAAUUAAAUUAAAACAUAAUCGGAUGAUGAAAUAGGUGAGUCCUGGUAUGGUAGGGUGGCAAGAGGACCCUUUAACAUAAGGAGCCCCUUCUGAAUCAAUCUCAUUUCAGAACUGAGCCCCCUUUGAAAGGAGUUGGAAACCAGAGCAGAAUCUCCUAGAGGAGGAGUCCACUCUUCUGCAACCUCCUUUUUGCUGAUCAUGACUUGGACUGUGGUACGAGAUGUUGAAUUGAGUUUCUCCCAUUGAUUGGUUCAACCUCUCAGCUGCUGCUGUGGGUCUGAGCCACGGCCAGGUUGGAGUGGUUCUGCGAGUUGGGAGGAUCUCUCAGCCUAGACUGGCAAUCACAGGCAGAAAUAGAAUGGGACCCACCCAUGUCAACUACAGAUUGUCUAGUAGCUCUAUGGUAAAAAGAAACAAGUCAAAAAUCAAAUCAUUGUAAUGGGCAAAAUGGUACCACUUCAACGUGUAUUUGAUUUCAAAAAUACAUUGUUUUUAAAACCUCAA